AGAGUUUGAUCAUGGCUCAGGAUGAACGCUAGCGGCAGGCUUAAUACAUGCAAGUUGAGGGGCAGCAUGAUAUACGCAAGUAUAUUGAUGGCGACCGGCGGACGGGUGAGUAAAAGGUAGGAGACCUACCUCAUACAGGGGGAUAGCAUAGAGAAAUCUGUGGUAAUACCCCAUGAGGUUAUAUGAAUAGAGGCAUAUAAUCAAAGUAUACGAGAGUAUGCGGUAUGAGAUGGGCCUACUGACCAUUAGCUAGUUGGUGAGGUAAGGGCUCACCAAGGCGAAGAUGGUUAGGGGUUUUGAGAGAGAGAUCCCCCACAUUGGAACUGAGAUACGGUCCAGACUCCUACGGGAGGCAGCAGUAGGGAAUAUUGGGCAAUGGGCGAAAGCCUGACCCAGCCAUGCCGCGUGAAGGAAGACGGCCUUAUGGGUUGUAAACUUCUUUACUAUACGAAUAGAGGUUAGUACGAGUUACUAAUAGGAAGGUAGUAUAGCAAAAAGCACCGGCUAACUCCGUGCCAGCAGCCGCGGUAAUACGGAGGGUGCAAGCGUUAUUCGGAAUUACUGGGUUUAAAGGGUGCGUAGGCGGUUAUAUAAGUUGUCAGUGAAAGGCUACGGCUCAACUGUAGUAGUGCUGGCGAUACUGUAUAACUAAGAACAUGGGAGGGGUACCUGGAAUGUGUCUAAGAACAUGGGAGGGGUACCUGGAAUGUGUGGUGUAGCGGUGAAAUGCAUAGAUAUCACACAGAACACCGGAGGCGAAGGCGGGGUACUAGACCAUAGUUGACGCUGAGGCACGAAAGCGUGGGGAGCAAACAGGAUUAGAUACCCUGGUAGUCCACGCCCUAAACGAUGAUCACUAGAUAUUGGCGACAGACAGUCAGUGUCUAAGCGAAAGUGAUAAGUGAUCCACCUGGGGAAUACGGCCGCAAGGUUAAAACUUAAAUGAAUUGACGG
This 954-nucleotide ribosomal RNA is filed under the name uncultured bacterium. RNAcentral describes it as "bacterial SSU rRNA". It matches the Rfam family "Bacterial small subunit ribosomal RNA", at positions 8 to 916 of the family's 1533-position model. The record is from RNAcentral.